AGAAUAAGUGUAUUUAAAGCAGUUGGACUGCAGAGUGAAGUUAGAGUAUAGGUUAUUGGCGAAGAGUUUGUGACAUUAAAGUCUCAAUUGAUUAUAAAGCCGGGCUUGGACACCGAUAUGGUGGGUUUGUGAUUUUCGGGGUGUCUUCAAAAUAAUUAAAUUGUAUAGAACGGGACUCUGGGAGUCUAACAAGUGCAUUUUUGUCGGAAGGUGACGCUUCCAAGUUGUCGGUGACGAUCGACAUUUCCUCGGGGAGAGAUAGUUCACUUGGCAAGUGUGGAGAACUACGACACUCCAAAAUAGCCACUGACUGGGUCAGUUUACCGUCCGGGGCGGUGGUGUGCACUUUUUUGGUUAGUAGAAACCGGGUUUCGGGCGUCUACCUUUUGACUUAAAACUUCGGGGAAGCCUGGGAUGUGAAGUGUCCCCAAAACAGGGCUUUUCGGCAGGGGUUGAGUUGGUUGACGCUUUUAAAUUGUGUUAGGGCAUUAGAUAUGUGACCACGGCCCGGGGCCGGGACUGGUUAAAUUGAUCAUAAAAAACUCAGGGAGUUUGUCCCUUGGAGGGUUAAGUUAAAGUUUUGUCUAAAUUCGGUAGGUUCUGCAAUUUCAGGCCUUGUAAAUAUUUUUAAGAUAUCAGACGUCUCUGUGUUAUAAUUUUUAUGUUUGUAUAUAGGCUCUGUCUGCCACGGGCACUGCAGCAGGCUGUUUAUUUUGAGAGUGUGUCUGUGUUUAUGUAAAUGAGAUGCCUGUGACUUAUUUAGAGUGACAUUUCCUGUUUACUAAUGAGUGGCUAAUGACUGACUGCAGAGCCAGGGUUAAGGACGACUUCAAUCUGUGUUUUAAGGGAAGAAAUGCAGUUUAUGUUUAUUAUAUUUGUGUGACUGUUGUUGAUUAUGAUAAGUAUUUCAUGAUAACUGUAGAAUAUGAGUAUGGGGUUUGCUUGACACGUGUCUGUACUAGGUAAAACUGUGUAAAACUGAUAGGAAGUUUAUAGGGACUGCUACACAUGGCUGAUGCCUGUAUUUAAGACGCUGGAGUUGUUUAUUACAAUAUUUGUGUCAAUACAGGUGGGCGUCUUUCAACUUUGCAACCUUGAGUUCAGCAGCAGAAAAGUAGAUUAAAAGAAUUGGGAGAGAAUAAGCCAGUUUUUGGCUCGAAAUUGUGCGGCUGGAUCUCUCACUUUGUCCCUGAAGCGGAGAAGAAGUUCAAAGGACAGUUAAUCGCCUGAUGAAGACAGAUAGAACAUCGUGGACUUGAAUACAGCAGGCAAACGGCAGUGCCACUGAUCCAUUAACACUGAUGACGACUGACGACCAGCAGCAGCAUGUAAGACUAAUGCAACAUGUACUGUGAAAAUACAGGCUGGGCAGUUGAACAGUGGGAUAAAGAAUUGUGGAAGAGCACUGGACAUUGAGUGAUAUUUUGCCACGCUGGGACUUAAUCUGAAAGAAAAGACUGUAAAGAAACAGAGAAGAAGACAGCAGCUGAGUUGAGACUGUGUUUGCUGGAGCUUUGAAGCCCGAAUAGGACAUUGUGCAGAGAGGACCAGUGAGAGAUGAAGCUGGACGAGUUUGACUGCGAGAAUAUAGGAUAUAAUUGGAAUGAAAAUUGAAGCCUGAACUCAUGAAUUGUUUAGGGAUGUCCACCACCGCAUAACAAAGAGGUAAACAUUAGAAAAGGCCUGGAAGAGAGUGAACUGACGGCGCGGACAAAUUACCAAGUAAGGAUUGCAGCGAGUCAAUCCAGUCAAAAGUAUAGAGAACUAUUUUCCUAAAAAGGAAAAACGAAAUAAAACAAAUGAUUGAGCUCAUUUUGCUGAUGUGGAGCAUCUGAUGACGUGCGCAGAAGGCUGCAGAUCAGCAAAAAUAUCAUGUGUGAAUGCAUGGGAGUGAAUGUGAGUGAUGGGACCAAGAGGGAAAUAAAUAAAAG
Oreochromis aureus is the source of this 1931-nucleotide long non-coding RNA. Lineage: Eukaryota; Metazoa; Chordata; Actinopteri; Cichliformes; Cichlidae. The record is from Ensembl.